RNAcentral lists this ribosomal RNA (855 nucleotides) under Salmonella enterica subsp. enterica serovar Montevideo. RNAcentral's name for it is "partial 23S ribosomal RNA". It matches the Rfam family "Bacterial large subunit ribosomal RNA", at positions 644 to 1503 of the family's 2925-position model. Lineage: Bacteria; Pseudomonadati; Pseudomonadota; Gammaproteobacteria; Enterobacterales; Enterobacteriaceae. The record is from RNAcentral.
GGUUAACCGAAUAGGGGAGCCGGAGGGAAACCGAGUCUUAAUUGGGCGUUAAGUUGCAGGGUAUAGACCCGAAACCCGGUGAUCUAGCCAUGGGCAGGUUGAAGGUUGGGUAACACUAACUGGAGGACCGAACCGACUAAUGUUGAAAAAUUAGCGGAUGACCUGUGGCUGGGGGUGAAAGGCCAAUCAAACCGGGAGAUAGCUGGUUCUCCCCGAAAGCUAUUUAGGUAGCGCCUCGUGAAUUUAUCUCCGGGGGUAGAGCACUGUUUCGGCUAGGGGGCCAUCCCGGCUUACCAACCCGAUGCAAACUGCGAAUACCGGAGAAUGUUAUCACGGGAGACACACGGCGGGUGCUAACGUCCGUCGUGAAGAGGGAAACAACCCAGACCGCCAGCUAAGGUCCCAAAGUCAUGGUUAAGUGGGAAACGAUGUGGGAAGGCCCAGACAGCCAGGAUGUUGGCUUAGAAGCAGCCAUCAUUUAAAGAAAGCGUAAUAGCUCACUGGUCGAGUCGGCCUGCGCGGAAGAUGUAACGGGGCUAAACCAUGCACCGAAGCUGCGGCAGCGACGCUGAUGCGUUGUUGGGUAGGGGAGCGUUCUGUAAGCCUGCGAAGGUGGCCUGUGAGGGUUGCUGGAGGUAUCAGAAGUGCGAAUGCUGACAUAAGUAACGAUAAAGCGGGUGAAAAGCCCGCUCGCCGGAAGACCAAGGGUUCCUGUCCAACGUUAAUCGGGGCAGGGUGAGUCGACCCCUAAGGCGAGGCCGAAAGGCGUAGUCGAUGGGAAACGGGUUAAUAUUCCCGUACUUGGUGUUACUGCGAAGGGGGGACGGAGAAGGCUAUGUUGGCCGGGCGACGGUU